AGUGAACGCUGGCGGUAGGCCUAACACAUGCAAGUCGAACGGCAGCACAGUAAGAGCUUGCUCUUACGGGUGGCGAGUGGCGGACGGGUGAGGAAUACAUCGGAAUCUACUUUUUCGUGGGGGAUAACGUAGGGAAACUUACGCUAAUACCGCAUACGACCUACGGGUGAAAGCAGGGGAACUUCGGACCUUGCGCGAUUGAAUGAGCCGAUGUCGGAUUAGCUAGUUGGCGGGGUAAAGGCCCACCAAGGCGACGAUCCGUAGCCGGUCUGAGAGGAUGAUCAGCCACACUGGAACUGAGACACGGUCCAGACGCCUACGGGAGGCAGCAGUGUGGAAUAUUAGACAAUGGGCGCAAGCCUUAUCCAGCCAUACCGCGUGGGUGAAGAAGGCCUUCGGGUUGUAAAGCCCUUUUGUUGGGAAAGAAAAGCAGCAGGUUAAUACCCCGCUGUUCUGACGGUACCCAAAGAAUAAGCACCGGCUAACUUCGUG
This 492-nucleotide ribosomal RNA is filed under the name uncultured bacterium. Its description in RNAcentral is "partial 16S ribosomal RNA". It matches the Rfam family "Bacterial small subunit ribosomal RNA", at positions 29 to 507 of the family's 1533-position model. The record is from RNAcentral.